Molecule: ribosomal RNA, 757 nt
Filed under: uncultured bacterium
Lineage: Bacteria
Description: bacterial SSU rRNA
Rfam family: Bacterial small subunit ribosomal RNA
Source: RNAcentral
GUAGCAAUACAGAUGCUGGCGACCGGCAAACGGGUGCGGAACACGUACGCAACCUCCCCCUAACUGGAAGAUAGCCCAUCGAAAGGUGGAUUAAUACUCCAUAUUAUAUUGAAGUGGCAUCACUUUAAUAUUAAAGCUCCGGCGGUAAGAGAUGGGCGUGCGUCUGAUUAGGUAGUUGGCGGGGUAACGGCCCACCAAGCCUACGAUCAGUAGCUGAUGUGAGAGCAUGAUCAGCCACACGGGCACUGAGACACGGGCCCGACUCCUACGGGAGGCAGCAGUAAGGAAUAUUGGUCAAUGGACGCAAGUCUGAACCAGCCAUGCCGCGUGGAGGAUGACGGUCCUCUGGAUUGUAAACUUCUUUUCUCUGGGACGAAACCCUCGAUUUCCAUCGAGCCUGACGGUACCAGAGGAAUAAGCACCGGCUAACUCCGUGCCAGCAGCCGCGGUAAUACGGAGGGUGCAAGCGUUGUCCGGAUUCACUGGGUUUAAAGGGUGCGUAGGUGGGCAGGUAAGUCAGUGGUGAAAUCUCUGGGCUUAACCCGGAAACUGCCAUUGAUACUAUUUGUCUUGAAUUCUCUGGAGGUAAGCGGAAUAUGUCAUGUAGCGGUGAAGUGCUUAGAUAUGACAUAGAACACCCAUUGCGAAGGCAGCUUACUACGGAGAUAUUGACACUGAGGCACGAAAGCGUGGGGAUCAAACAGGAUUAGAUACCCUGGUAGUCCACGCCCUAAACGAUGAUUACUCGACAUUAGCG